UGCAAGUCGAGCGAAUGGAUUAAGAGCUUGCUCUUAUGAAGUUAGCGGCGGACGGGUGAGUAACACGUGGGUAACCUGCCCAUAAGACUGGGAUAACUCCGGGAAACCGGGGCUAAUACCGGAUAACAUUUUGAACCGCAUGGUUCGAAAUUGAAAGGCGGCUUCGGCUGUCACUUAUGGAUGGACCCGCGUCGCAUUAGCUAGUUGGUGAGGUAACGGCUCACCAAGGCAACGAUGCGUAGCCGACCUGAGAGGGUGAUCGGCCACACUGGGACUGAGACACGGCCCAGACUCCUACGGGAGGCAGCAGUAGGGAAUCUUCCGCAAUGGACGAAAGUCUGACGGAGCAACGCCGCGUGAGUGAUGAAGGCUUUCGGGUCGUAAAACUCUGUUGUUAGGGAAGAACAAGUGCUAGUUGAAUAAGCUGGCACCUUGACGGUACCUAACCAGAAAGCCACGGCUAACUACGUGCCAGCAGCCGCGGUAAUACGUAGGUGGCAAGCGUUAUCCGGAAUUAUUGGGCGUAAAGCGCGCGCAGGUGGUUUCUUAAGUCUGAUGUGAAAGCCCACGGCUCAACCGUGGAGGGUCAUUGGAAACUGGGAGACUUGAGUGCAGAAGAGGAAAGUGGAAUUCCAUGUGUAGCGGUGAGAUGCGUAGAGAUAUGGAGGAACACCAGUGGCGAAGGCGACUUUUCUGGUCUGUAACUGACA
RNAcentral lists this ribosomal RNA (710 nucleotides) under Bacillus cereus. RNAcentral's name for it is "bacterial SSU rRNA". It matches the Rfam family "Bacterial small subunit ribosomal RNA", at positions 56 to 745 of the family's 1533-position model. The record is from RNAcentral. Lineage: Bacteria; Bacillati; Bacillota; Bacilli; Caryophanales; Bacillaceae.